Spodoptera frugiperda (fall armyworm) is the source of this 481-nucleotide long non-coding RNA. RefSeq lists it as uncharacterized. The transcript is spliced from 3 exons. Lineage: Eukaryota; Metazoa; Arthropoda; Insecta; Lepidoptera; Noctuidae. The record is from RefSeq and is a predicted model, not a curated record.
UGAAACUAUAAAACCGACCGAGAACGUACGAAACGGUUACAACUCGACUCAUAUAUUUUAAACAAGAUGUUUUACUUAAAUAGGAAAGGACCGAAUAAUUUAAAUUGCCAAACAAGAAUGAGACCGUUUUGGACCACAAAUAAGAUAUUUACUAAAUCGUCGGGACCCUACUUAUCCUCAAAUUUACUUACCGUGAAGCAAAAACAAAAAAAUAUUCUGUCGUUACGAGAGAUAAGACAACAAUAAAAUAGUUACUAACAAUAGAAAAUAAUGACGCAGUGCAGACAAAAGAAAAUAAAUUCAUCUGUAAGUGAAUGUGGGCUAAAUAAGUGGAUAGGACCCUAAACUAAUCCGCGGUCUACCCGAAACCUAAUUUGUUAAGCUAAUAAAGACUACCCGAAUUCGGAACUAGACACAUUCGCUGAAGAUUUACCAACUAGUUACAUUACUUCACAAGUGUAAAUAAUAAAGCAUUUUUGUA